AGACAGGGAGCAGGGCGAUGGCGCAGGCGAAGAGGAUGAUCCAGGAGCGCUGCAGGUAGAUGCCCAGCAUGUGAUACUGCUCGGCGCCAUAGGACUGGCCGCACAGCGUCUCCAGCGCGCUCGCCAUGCCCAGCUGCAGUUGCUUGCGUCUUGUUGGCGACGAGCCGACGCCAGGCCACCAGGGCAGACGUUGUUCAUCUUGCGUCGCAAAAGAGAGUGUUUGUGCCAGCCAAGAAUGCAAUUCUAGCAAUCAAACGGAUUGGAGUUGUGCAUGCAUUUUGUACCAUGGCUUUGGACACUGACUUCACAAUCGAUGAUGAUGGAUUGGUUACUGCUGAUGGAAGCCUGACGCCUCGCUAUUUUGUUGACCGAGAGAAGAAGAGAGCAAUUGGAACACCAACGUAUUGAUGCUGGGUGUCUCUUUUGCACUGCACGUCUGCACGUGCAAGAAACUUUCCAAAUCUAGGAAUUUGAGUUUUACUGGAAUUUAAGCGUGGACCCAAAAUGCAGAUGAAGAGCUUAAAAUCGAUGGUAUCUCGAGCUUGCAUGGGCCACAAAACGGUUUUGGUUGAAACUUGAUGAAAAAUUGAAUGCUACUACGGUUGGUGCAUGUGAAAGACUACUCCAGUUUGUAAAGUUAGACAUGAAUAUGGUGCUCCUCUGAUUGAGUGUGCCGCGUCACUCUCUAUGGGGCCAGUUUUUGUAAUGCUAGUGCCUAAGAAAAGUUUGUCUUGCUACUCUCUGGUCCUUGUCAAUGUGCACUGUGUUAUGAAUGAAAACGCAGGACGUGCCUUGGUUUA
Long non-coding RNA from Setaria italica (foxtail millet), 800 nucleotides. RefSeq lists it as uncharacterized. The transcript is spliced from 2 exons. Lineage: Eukaryota; Viridiplantae; Streptophyta; Magnoliopsida; Poales; Poaceae. The record is from RefSeq and is a predicted model, not a curated record.